Molecule: ribosomal RNA, 372 nt
Filed under: Triticum aestivum (bread wheat)
Lineage: Eukaryota; Viridiplantae; Streptophyta; Magnoliopsida; Poales; Poaceae
Description: partial small subunit ribosomal RNA
Source: RNAcentral
AUGCGUUUUCAAUCUCUAGACUAUGUUGCUUUCAAUGAAAAUCUUAGAAAAAGGGUUCCUACCAAUGUUCUAGUUGAUAGAAUUUCUGAACUUAAUAAUGAUUUGGCUAUUCGAAAUAAUGAGCUAGGAUAUUCUCUUGAGUAUAGGCUCACAAAGUUUUGUCAAAAGAAUGCUUAUAAUGAUGAAUUGGUUGUGCAAUACGAAGGGCCGAAGGAGGAACCUAUACCUCCUAAAGUUGAUCUUGGAGACUUUUGUCCCAUUAAAUUCAGCCCUUUUGAUUACUUUUGCUUGCCUCAAAGAAAAGUUGCUGCCGAACGUAGAGAAUAUGAAAUGAGUUUUAAUGUUCUAUCCUAUUAUUAUGGCGACACCUAG